GACGAACGCUGGCGGCGUGCUUAACACAUGCAAGUCGAACGAAAAGAGGGAAAGAGCUUGCUCUUUCCGGAAUUGAGUGGCAAACGGGUGAGUAACACGUAAACAACCUGCCUUCAGGAUGGGGACAACAGACGGAAACGACUGCUAAUACCGAAUAAGUUCCAAGAGCCGCAUGGCCCAUGGAAGAAAAGGUGGCCUCUACCUGUAAGCUAUCGCCUGAAGAGGGGUUUGCGUCUGAUUAGCUGGUUGGAGGGGUAACGGCCCACCAAGGCGACGAUCAGUAGCCGGUCUGAGAGGAUGAGCGGCCACACUGGAACUGAGACACGGUCCAGACUCCUACGGGAGGCAGCAGUGGGGAAUCGUCCGCAAUGGGCGAAAGCCUGACGGAGCAACGCCGCGUGAGUGAUGACGGCCUUCGGGUUGUAAAACUCUGUGAUCCGGGACGAAAAGGCAGAGUGCGAAGAACAAACUGCAUUGACGGUACCGGAAAAGCAAGCCACGGCUAACUACGUG
RNAcentral lists this ribosomal RNA (513 nucleotides) under uncultured bacterium. Its description in RNAcentral is "partial 16S ribosomal RNA". It matches the Rfam family "Bacterial small subunit ribosomal RNA", at positions 28 to 507 of the family's 1533-position model. The record is from RNAcentral.